Molecule: RNA transcript, 716 nt
Organism: Homo sapiens (human)
Lineage: Eukaryota; Metazoa; Chordata; Mammalia; Primates; Hominidae
Gene: STUB1-DT
Gene name: STUB1 divergent transcript
Source: RefSeq, marked validated
UGAGGACCCCAGUCGCUGGGCUGCCAUUCUGGAGCGCCACGAGAGGUGCUACGGGCGAGCGCGAGCCCCCGAGGGCGGCUGGAAGCCCCGGACUGUUGGUAGAGUGGAAGGGGAUAGAGAUCGGUGGGGCGAGCGUCCUCCGUGGCCAGUCCUCCCCUCACCGCCCUUCCUCAGAGGGGCGCUUCCGGCCACGUCUGCAGCAGCUGGUGGCCACCAAUCCCCCUGAGCUGGUUGUGCACUGUUCGACCGCCACCUUCUGCCUCCUGCCAGAUGUGGGGGCUGCAGUCACCGAGCUGUGUGCCCUCUGCGGUGUGGGCCCACCACAGCCUCGGUCCUGGCAGCUGGAGCUCCAGAGAUGGAGGCCUUCAUGUCAGAUGAGGCGGUGGCCACAGUGCCCGGCUGGCCGGCCCCACAGUACACCCUCAGCCAGUGCCUCAGGACAGUGGACUCCCUACCUAGUGGAGACAGCACUGUGGACCUGGGCUGUGGGGCAGAGGCUGUGCCCAGACCUGCUGCCCAACCUUGGCCCCAGCCUGGCCACCCACGAGGAUGCUAGGCCAGCCAAGAAGCAUGGAACCCAGGCCGAGUAAACUUGGCCAUGGCCCAGGCCUGCUCACCUGCCACAGAACCUCAGGCCUCCGGGUCUCACUGGACGGCAGGGAGGCUGAAGAGGAGGCUGGCCACUACGGGAGCUCAAUAAACACUUCCCAAACUCA